RNAcentral lists this long non-coding RNA (743 nucleotides) under Homo sapiens (human). RNAcentral describes it as "HSALNT0323321". Lineage: Eukaryota; Metazoa; Chordata; Mammalia; Primates; Hominidae. The record is from RNAcentral.
GUUGCUAAGUGUGUUCAUCUCAAAUCUAAAAGCCACUUUCAUAACAACAACUUUGCUAUUCCUUAGCAUUUUGUCUCUUUAGGCAGCUUAUUUCCCAGUCAAAGUUAUAAUUUUGUAUUCAUAAUACCAUAAUCAUUUCCAUGGUAACUUCCUGUGAAGUCACAGAGAAAACACUAUUGACUUCUCCUGAGGCUCUGAUUUCCCAGUUGAAAUCAUAUGUUGAUUUUAUUUUUUCCAAUGUAAGUCAAAGAUUUACUAUUAAAAAUCCUGGGGAUGAGGUCUUAACACAGAAAACCCAUCUGUCGUCGCUACAGAGGACUACUAUGAAGAAAGCGCCUGGCAUAAUCUUGGCACAUCGAAGGCAUUCAAAAAAUACCAGUCGUCUCUCUUCACUCCCUCUAACUCUAACUCAUUUUAACCUCAUUUAAACUUUGAGGAAAAAGAACUCAAGGUGCCCCAAGGAGAAGAGGAGAUGACACACACUGAGUUUUGAAUCAGGCAUCAAACAUCUAGUCUGAAGCUGCAUCAGGCUUGGCAUCAAACAUCUAGUCUGAAGCUGCAUCAGGCUUGCCUUAUCUCUCUGCCUCCUUCAUUCAGGUCCAGCUCCUGGAAAGCUACCCAACAUUCAUUUCAAGUCCUUUGUAAUUCAAGGGAAAGCCAAGAAGUAGGAGUGGGCCUACGCAGAAACCCCUGGGCAUGAAUAAAGAUUUGAGAACUUUUCUCAAGAUAGUUACUGUGACUAA